This 1186-nucleotide long non-coding RNA is filed under the name Crocodylus porosus (Australian saltwater crocodile). Its description in RNAcentral is "lncRNA (ENSCPRG00005014011.1)". The record is from RNAcentral. Lineage: Eukaryota; Metazoa; Chordata; Crocodylia; Crocodylidae.
GUGUUUGCUUUAUUUUUCACUUUUUGAUUCAUGAUCAGUGAUACAGCAUGUUGCGUUUCAUUUAACAGAUUCAAUUGUCAUAGCCUUUUGGGUUGGACUUGCUACAUUCUUGAUGUUUCUCUUCCUCAUUUUGCUCUACAUGUCCAGAUCUGGAUCCACACCAGUAAAACAGGUGGCUAUAAAUAACCGGGAAGAAGAAAACAGCUCCAGUGGUGACUGAUUCACAUAGAAGAUCAGCCAGACAGAUUCAGAUUUGAUCCCUUCUGAAACACAUCCUUCUCUCUCAGAUGAAACGGACAUGCAUGGAAGUACCUCAGGCUGAGCUAGAACUGGAAGCAGAUUCCACAAAAAUAGACAUGAUGUUGUAACAGGAAUUGAAAAAAAUCAGUACUUUUGAUAUUAUUACAUAUAGAUAAAAUGAAUUUACCCUAUGUACUCAAAUAUGAAAUGAGGUCAUCCCCCCACCAAUCUUCAUAGGGAAAAAAAGCUCCUCAUCUUACAUUCUUACAAGGAAACCUGAUUUAAAACACUGACUAUCACCAAACUGCUGCCAGAAGCAGCAUGUGCUUAGUAAUGCAAACCCACUAUGAAGUUGAUUAAAUGAAGCCAGUACUGCAUAUGGCUAUAAAACCUAGGACCCAUAUUGGGCAACCAUACUGAUGAGAACCUUUCAUUUUAUUUUGGUCCUUAAAAAAAAUGGGUCGGUGUUGCCACCACAGGGAACUGGCAUCAGGCCUGGGGCCACUGCAAUACUAGACUGGCACUGGGAGGGCCAGAGCUAGCCCCACAACACCCUCCCUCUGGUGCCAAAAAUGCUGCAUCUUAGCCUAGGAUCUUAGCCAAAAAAUUGAUCUUAGCCAAAACAGCCGAGAUGCCUAUCAAUUAUUUUUUAAAUUUCAUGCCUUAAGCUGAAUCAGCCAAAUCAGUUCCAAAUUCUAUCAGCUGAGCAGAGCUCAAUCAUUCAAGUUUGUGUGGUGUUACCACUGGCAAGUAUCCUACUUCCCAGAUUCUUCAGCCUAGGGCUUCAGGUAUUCCCAGAUCCAUGGUAGGCAUCAAGCCCCAAGGUAGGUUCAAGCCCCAAGCCUGGAGGCCUCGGAGUUCAAAUACCCCCUAGGUAAAAGGCUGACGAAACAAGCUAGAAGCCUGAGAGCAAUAUCCCAUCACCAUAAAUUGUAUAGCCAAGAUC